This 400-nucleotide ribosomal RNA is filed under the name uncultured bacterium. Its description in RNAcentral is "bacterial SSU rRNA". It matches the Rfam family "Bacterial small subunit ribosomal RNA", at positions 356 to 773 of the family's 1533-position model. The record is from RNAcentral.
GGGGAAUAUUGCGCAAUGGGGGAAACCCUGACGCAGCAACGCCGCGUGAGUGAAGAAGGCCUUAGGGUUGUAAAGCUCUGUCAUAUGGGAAGAUAAUGACGGUACCAUAAGAGGAAGCCACGGCUAACUACGUGCCAGCAGCCGCGGUAAUACGUAGGUGGCGAGCGUUGUCCGGAUUUACUGGGCGUAAAGGAUGCGUAGGCGGAUAUUUAAGUGGGAUGUGAAAUCCCCGAGCUUAACUCGGGGGCUGCAUUCCAAACUGGAUAUCUAGAGUGUCGGAGGGGAAAGUGGAAUUCCUAGUGUAGCGGUGAAAUGCGUAGAGAUUAGGAAGAACACCAGUGGCGAAGGCGACUUUCUGGACGAUAACUGACGCUGAGGCAUGAAAGCGUGGGGAGCAAAC